This 270-nucleotide ribosomal RNA is filed under the name uncultured archaeon. RNAcentral describes it as "partial 16S ribosomal RNA". It matches the Rfam family "Archaeal small subunit ribosomal RNA", at positions 477 to 747 of the family's 1478-position model. The record is from RNAcentral.
CAGCACCUCAAGUGGUCAGGAUGAUUAUUGGGCCUAAAGCAUCCGUAGCCGGCGCUGUAAGUUUUCGGUUAAAUCUGUACGCUCAACGUACAGGCUGCCGGGAAUACUGCAGCGCUAGGGAGUGGGAGAGGUAGACGGUACUCGGUAGGAAGGGGUAAAAUCCUUUGAUCUAUUGAUGACCACCUGUGGCGAAGGCGGUCUACCAGAACACGUCCGACGGUGAGUGAUGAAAGCUGGGGGAGCAAACCGGAUUAGAUACCCGAGUAGUCC